RNAcentral lists this ribosomal RNA (433 nucleotides) under uncultured bacterium. Its description in RNAcentral is "bacterial SSU rRNA". It matches the Rfam family "Bacterial small subunit ribosomal RNA", at positions 252 to 677 of the family's 1533-position model. The record is from RNAcentral.
GUGAGGUAACGGCUCACCAAGGCGACGAUCUCUAGCUGGUCUGAGAGGAUGACCAGCCACACUGGAACUGAGACACGGUCCAGACUCCUACGGGAGGCAGCAGUGGGGAAUAUUGCACAAUGGGGGAAACCCUGAUGCAGCCAUGCCGCGUGUGUGAAGAAGGCCUUCGGGUUGUAAAGCACUUUCAGUCAGGAGGAAGGGGUGAUGGCUAAUAUCCAUCAUCAUUGACGUUACUGACAGAAGAAGCACCGGCUAACUCCGUGCCAGCAGCCGCGGUAAUACGGAGGGUGCAAGCGUUAAUCGGAAUAACUGGGCGUAAAGCGCACGCAGGCGGUUGGAUAAGCGAGAUGUGAAAGCCCCGGGCUCAACCUGGGAACUGCAUUUCGAACUGUCCGACUAGAGUCUUGUAGAGGGGGGUAGAAUUCCAGGUGUA